GCUUAAUUGGUAAAGCACAAGGCUCUUAACCUUGUGGACGUGGAUUCAAGUCUCAU
RNAcentral lists this transfer RNA (56 nucleotides) under Triticum aestivum (bread wheat). It matches the Rfam family "tRNA", at positions 10 to 63 of the family's 71-position model. Rfam says of the family: Transfer RNA (tRNA) molecules are approximately 80 nucleotides in length. Their secondary structure includes four short double-helical elements and three loops (D, anti-codon, and T loops). The record is from Rfam by way of RNAcentral. RNAcentral also lists the same sequence under 1 other name. Lineage: Eukaryota; Viridiplantae; Streptophyta; Magnoliopsida; Poales; Poaceae.